GAUGAAGAACGCAGUGAAAUGCGAUAAGUAAUGUGAAUUGCAGAAUUCCGUGAAUCAUCGAAUCUUUGAACGCAUAUUGCGCCCCCUGGUAUUCCGGGGGGCAUGCCUGUCCGAGCGUCAUUGCUGCCCUCAAGCACGGCUUGUGUGUUGGGCCUCCGUCCUCCUCCCGGGGGACGGGCCCGAAAGGCAGCGGCGGCACCGCGUCCGGUCCUCGAGCGUAUGGGGCUUCGUCACCCGCUCUUGUAGGCCCGGCCGGCGCUUGCCGACACAUCAAUCUUUUUUCCAGGUUGACCUCGGAUCAGGUAGGGAUACCCGCUGAACUUAAGCAUAUCAAUAAGCGGAGGA
Molecule: unclassified non-coding RNA, 345 nt
Filed under: soil metagenome
Description: partial contains 5.8S ribosomal RNA, internal transcribed spacer 2, and large subunit ribosomal RNA
Rfam family: 5.8S ribosomal RNA (bases 1-120)
Source: RNAcentral